UACGUAGGGCGCAAGCGUUGUCCGGAAUUAUUGGGCGUAAAGAGCUCGUAGGCGGUCUGUCGCGUCGGUCGUGAAAACUUGGGGCUUAACCCUGAGCUUGCGGUCGAUACGGGCAUGACUGGAGUUCGGUAGGGGAGACUGGAAUUCCUGGUGUAGCGGUGAAAUGCGCAGAUACCAGGAGGAACACCGGUGGCGAAGGCGGGUCUCUGGGCCGAUACUGACGCUGAGGAGCGAAAGCGUGGGGAGCGAACAGG
RNAcentral lists this ribosomal RNA (254 nucleotides) under uncultured bacterium. RNAcentral describes it as "partial 16S ribosomal RNA". It matches the Rfam family "Bacterial small subunit ribosomal RNA", at positions 524 to 776 of the family's 1533-position model. The record is from RNAcentral.